Molecule: long non-coding RNA, 698 nt
Organism: Mauremys reevesii (Reeves's turtle)
Lineage: Eukaryota; Metazoa; Chordata; Testudines; Geoemydidae
Exons: 4
Source: RefSeq, a predicted model, not a curated record
CUCCGGCAGCUUCAUCUCCAGCAGGGAGGGGAGAGCAGGCGGAGGCCUCCAGCCCUCCUGAGCCCCUCACCCUUCCUCUGGCCCCAGCCCUGGGACCCCACGGGAGAAUCCGGCUGGCAUCCAGAUCAAGUCGCAUGAUGAAACCUCCAGCCUGGUCCCCGGCUAGGUUCAGCCGGCAGUGAGAGGGGAGGGCAGGGCUGGGGGGAGGCGUCUGGCCCAGGCUAAGCCGCUGUGCAUUAACCCCGGAGCAGUUAUGACAUAUCUCGAAUACCCAAGCGUGAUCCUCCACCCCCUGCCGCUGCCCGGGUACCGCUCCCGCCCCGCGCCCAGACAGACGGACAGACACACGGCUCAGCAUGUCCGACAGCCCCAGCCCAGGAGGGGCCCCCGAAGAGGGGGCCCCCGAUGAACCCCAGGGGCAGCCCCCCUGCGCCGAGCUCAAAGCAGCCAUGGAGAAAUGCGUGCGUGAGAACGGGGAGGAUUCGUGCAAGGAGCUGAUGGAAUCGUACCACGAGUGUCUCCGUGCCCUGGGCAUCAAGGUCUAGCAGCCCUCCCCCACGGCGCUGGUGUGGCCAGUGGGUGCAGCGUCACCCAGGGGAGCCCGGCUGUGAGAGUGAAGAGCCGCCGAGACACGCCAGCGGCCAUGGAGGUGGCAGCUGCUCCGGAUUCAGGAGGCAUGGGGGGCAGGGUAAUAAACU